GCGGAGUCACGUGCCCGGACGCCCCGCCCUCGACCCGAUUCGCGCCUCGAAAUGGCGGUCAAUGGCUUCGUCAGCCCCACGGUCGCCGUUAAGCGCACAGACUCAAUGUCAGACUGAAGUGAAGCGCAUCCAAAGAGAGCCUGGACAUGGAAUCUGAUCAUUUCAAUAUGGCAAACACUCAACAUCACUUGUCAAGAAUGAAUUGUUCUAUGGGGCAACGCAUUCCUGACCCUGCCCUGCAGCCUCAGUGCACAACACCACUGGCAAAUUACAAAUUAAACUCAGAGAACCUGGACAUGGAUCUAAUCAUUUCAAUAUGGCAUUGUCGACUGUGAACAGAUGGAUCGAUCACUGUUCACUGUGAAUCUGCUGCUCUGAGGAAACCAGAGCAUACAUCCCAGAUUGCACUCGCCUUAACCCCUGAGAGCCUGGACAUGGAAUCUGAUCAUUUCAAUAUGGCAUUGUCGACUGUGAACAGAUGGAUCGAUCACUGUUCACUGUGAAUCUGCUGCUCUGAGGAAUCCAGAGCAUACAUCCCAGAUUGCACUCGCCUUAACCCCUGAGAGCCUGGACAUGGAAUCUGAUCAUUUCAAUAUGGUACCAACUGGGGUCCCAUUGUGUGUUUCCUGGACUUUCUGUUUUAUCUUGUGAAGUACUGAACUGAAUUUCAUGUCUGCAGUCGAUGUUUCUUGCCUAAUGGGAGGCCUCUUUGUUUCUACAAAAUAGAAAUUGAUGUGCAAAGUCAAGUGACCUUCCAUUCAUUGUGCGCUCUCUUCUCGAGCACAAAGCAGCUGUUCUCUGUCUGCAGUUGCUUAUUAUACUGUGUCACUUGUGAUCCUGAAUAAAUCUCUUCCUAUCCAUGGC
Carcharodon carcharias (great white shark) is the source of this 864-nucleotide long non-coding RNA. RefSeq lists it as uncharacterized. The transcript is spliced from 9 exons. The record is from RefSeq and is a predicted model, not a curated record. Lineage: Eukaryota; Metazoa; Chordata; Chondrichthyes; Lamniformes; Lamnidae.